CACGCGUUGAGGCAAAUACUUGGGUUGCUGAUAGAUAAGGUACUUACUCAAACGUGGCAAUUCAGCGUCACAUUCUAGUUCUUGUAAGCUGCCGUCUUUUAAUUGGGAUUCGCAAAUAGAACGUGGUAAUAAAGCCGCACCAGUGCCGAGCAAACAAAGCGCGAGCGACUGGCUCAUCUCGACCGUUUUAAUACUCGGUUUUUUACAAGAAAAUGGGCACAUAGCAAGGGGGUCAUGCAAGACCAAGUCAUUCCAAUUUUCAAUAGGUAAAUUCUGAGACAUCCAACUCCUUGUCGCCACGAGAAUCAUGUCCGUGGCAUCCAACUCCCUAGCAACUAAAUCUGUACUCACAGGGCUUUUACCGCGUAUGGCAAUAUCCACUCUAUUCGCCGCUAAAUCGAGUACUUGGUCACUGAGCAACAUUUCAAUCGUAAUAUCAGGGUAUUUUUUCUGGAAUGUCGUCAGAGCUUCUAAAAAAUGUUGAUUAGGCAGGGUGACAGGCAACGCUAAGCGUAUUUCUCCUUUCAGCUGCUCACCAAGCGAAAGCGCCGCGUCGGCAUCUUCAAAGGCGCUUAACGCCUGUUGGCAAGCCUCUAGGAGAAAGUGCCCUAGCCCAGUACUACUGGUUAAAAAUGAUUUUUGGCCAGAUCACGCGAAGAUAUUUGCUUCAGUUCACGUAGGAUCUGAGACAGAAGCUCAUUUAGAGCUUAACGAUACGAUGGUCGACAGAUUACUAGAAAUCACGGGUCGUAUAGGGUCUGACGCCUGCCCGGUGCCUGAAGGUUAAGAGGAGGGGUGAGAGCUCUGAAUUGAAGCCCAGGUAAACGGCGGCCGUAACUAUAACGGUCCUAAGGUAGCGAAAUUCCUUGUCGGGUAAGUUCCGACCUGCACGAAUGGCGUAACGACUUCCCCACUGUCUCCAAUGUAGACUCAGCGAAAUUGAAUUCCCCGUGAAGAUGCGGGGUACCCGCGGUCAGACGGAAAGACCCCGUGAACCUUUACUGCAGCUUGGCUGUGGCACCGGAAAUAAUAUGUGUAGGAUAGGUGGGAGGCUUUGAAGCAGCGGCGCCAGUCGUUGUGGAGCCAUCCUUGAAAUACCACCCUUAUUCUUUUCGUUGUCUAACCGCGUCCCUGGAUGGGACCGGGACCCAGCCUGGCGGGCAGUUUGACUGGGGCGGUCGCCUCCUAAAGAGUAACGGAGGCGCGCGAUGGUAAGCUCAAGCCGGUCGGACAUCGGCUGUUGAGUGCAAUGGCAUAAGCUUGCCUGACUGUGAGGUCGACGGACCGAGCAGAGACGAAAGUCGGUCAUAGUGAUCCGGUGGUCCCGAGUGGAAGGGCCAUCGCUCAACGGAUAAAAGGUACUCCGGGGAUAACAGGCUGAUGAUGCCCAAGAGUCCAUAUCGACGGCAUCGUUUGGCACCUCGAUGUCGGCUCAUCACAUCCUGGGGCUGAAGCAGGUCCCAAGGGUUCGGCUGUUCGCCGAUUAAAGUGGUACGUGAGCUGGGUUCAGAACGUCGUGAGACAGUUUGGUCCCUAUCUGCCGUGGGUGUUGGAAACUUGAGAGGAUCUGUCCUUAGUACGAGAGGACCGGGAUGGACAUACCUCUGGUGGACCUGUUGUGGCGCCAGCCGCAUUGCAGGGUAGCUAUGUAUGGACGGGAUAACCGCUGAAUGCAUCUAAGCGGGAAACCCACCUCAAAACCAGGUUUCCCUUGAGAGCCGUUCUAGACUAGGACGUCGAUAGGCCAGGUGUGGAAGCGCAGUAAUGCGUGGAGCUAACUGGUCCUAAUAGUUCUGUUCGCGCUUG
Molecule: ribosomal RNA, 1806 nt
Filed under: museum specimen metagenome
Description: bacterial LSU rRNA
Rfam family: Bacterial large subunit ribosomal RNA (bases 534-1806)
Source: RNAcentral